ACGCUCGACACCUACGGGACAGCAGUAGGGAAUCUUCCACAAUGGGCGCAAGCCUGAUGGAGCAACACCGCGUGAGUGAAGAAGGGUUUCGGCUCGUAAAGCUCUGUUGUUGGAGAAGAACGUGCGUGAGAGUAACUGUUCACGCAGUGACGGUAUCCAACCAGAAAGUCACGGCUAACUACGUGCCNNNCGCGAGUAUNGNGGCGNGNGAGAG
RNAcentral lists this ribosomal RNA (214 nucleotides) under uncultured bacterium. RNAcentral describes it as "partial 16S ribosomal RNA". It matches the Rfam family "Bacterial small subunit ribosomal RNA", at positions 326 to 540 of the family's 1533-position model. The record is from RNAcentral.